This 637-nucleotide ribosomal RNA is filed under the name Escherichia coli. RNAcentral describes it as "partial 23S ribosomal RNA". It matches the Rfam family "Bacterial large subunit ribosomal RNA", at positions 614 to 1251 of the family's 2925-position model. The record is from RNAcentral. Lineage: Bacteria; Pseudomonadati; Pseudomonadota; Gammaproteobacteria; Enterobacterales; Enterobacteriaceae.
AAUGGGUCAGCGACUUAUAUUCUGUAGCAAGGUUAACCGAAUAGGGGAGCCGAAGGGAAACCGAGUCUUAACUGGGCGUUAAGUUGCAGGGUAUAGACCCGAAACCCGGUGAUCUAGCCAUGGGCAGGUUGAAGGUUGGGUAACACUAACUGGAGGACCGAACCGACUAAUGUUGAAAAAUUAGCGGAUGACUUGUGGCUGGGGGUGAAAGGCCAAUCAAACCGGGAGAUAGCUGGUUCUCCCCGAAAGCUAUUUAGGUAGCGCCUCGUGAAUUCAUCUCCGGGGGUAGAGCACUGUUUCGGCAAGGGGGUCAUCCCGACUUACCAACCCGAUGCAAACUGCGAAUACCGGAGAAUGUUAUCACGGGAGACACACGGCGGGUGCUAACGUCCGUCGUGAAGAGGGAAACAACCCAGACCGCCAGCUAAGGUCCCAAAGUCAUGGUUAAGUGGGAAACGAUGUGGGAAGGCCCAGACAGCCAGGAUGUUGGCUUAGAAGCAGCCAUCAUUUAAAGAAAGCGUAAUAGCUCACUGGUCGAGUCGGCCUGCGCGGAAGAUGUAACGGGGCUAAACCAUGCACCGAAGCUGCGGCAGCGACGCUGAUGCGUUGUUGGGUAGGGGAGCGUUCUGUAAGCCUG